CAGAGAGAGAGAGGUCUGAUAAUAUGACAGAGAGAGAGAGGUCUGAUAAUAUGACAGAGAGAGAGAGAGGUCUGAUAAUAUGACAGAGAGAGAGAGGUCUGAUAAUAUGACAGAGAGAGAGAGAGGUCUGAUAAUAUGACAGAGAGAGGUCUGAUAAUAUGACAGAGAGAGAGGUCUGAUAAUAUGACAGAGAGAGAGAGAGGUCUGAUAAUAUGACAGAGAUAGAGAGAGGUCUGAUAAUAUGACAGAGAGAGAGAGAGGUCUGAUAAUAUGACAGAGAGAGAGAGAGGUCUGAUAAUAUGACAGAGAGAGAGGUCUGAUAAUAUGACAGAGAGAGAGGUCUGAUAAUAUGACAGAGAGAGAGAGAGGUCUGAUAAUAUGACAGAGAGAGAGGUCUGAUAAUAUGACAGAGAGAGAGAGGUCUGAUAAUAUGACAGAGAGAGAGAGAGGUCUGAUAAUAUGACAGAGAGAGAGAGGUCUGAUAAUAUGACAGAGAGAGAGAGAGGUCUGAUAAUAUGACAGAGAGAGAGAGGUCUGAUAAUAUGACAGAGAGAGAGAGAGGUCUGAUAAUAUGACAGAGAGAGAGAGAGGUCUGAUAAUAUGACAGAGAGAGAGGUCUGAUAAUAUGACAGAGAGAGAGAGAGGUCUGAUAAUAUGACAGAGAUAGAGAGGUCUGAUAAUAUGACAGAGAGAGAGGUCUGAUAAUAUGACAGAGAGAGAGGUCUGAUAAUAUGACAGAGAGAGAGAGAGGUCUGAUAAUAUGACAGAGAUAGAGAGAGGUCUGAUAAUAUGACAGAGAGAGAGAGAGGUCUGAUAAUAUGACAGAGAUAGAGAGGUCUGAUAAUAU
Molecule: long non-coding RNA, 847 nt
Organism: Oncorhynchus keta (chum salmon)
Lineage: Eukaryota; Metazoa; Chordata; Actinopteri; Salmoniformes; Salmonidae
Exons: 6
Source: RefSeq, a predicted model, not a curated record